Molecule: ribosomal RNA, 426 nt
Filed under: uncultured bacterium
Lineage: Bacteria
Description: bacterial SSU rRNA
Rfam family: Bacterial small subunit ribosomal RNA
Source: RNAcentral
GGGGAAUCUUGCGCAAUGGACGAAAGUCUGACGCAGCCACGCCGCGUGAGUGAAGAAGGCCUUCGGGUUGUAAAGCUCUGUCGGAGGGGACGAAAAGCUUUUGGGUUAAUAGCCCAGGAGCCUGACGGUACCCUUAAAGGAAGCACCGGCUAACUUCGUGCCAGCAGCCGCGGUAAUACGAGGGGUGCAAGCGUUGCUCGGAAUCAUUGGGCGUAAAGGGUAGGUAGGUGGUCUCAUUUGUCAGAGGUGAAAUCCUUGGGCUCAACCUAAGAAGUGCCUCUGAAACGGUGAGACUAGAGUUCUGGAGAGGGUCGUGGAAUUCCCGGUGUAGCGGUGAAAUGCGUAGAGAUCGGGAGGAACACCAGCGGCGAAGGCGGCGACCUGGACAGGUACUGACACUAAACUACGAAAGCGUGGGGAGCAAAC